GGAAGCCCCAGGUCCAUUCUGUUUGCUCCCUACCCUUUCCUCUCCAAGGCGGCCUGGGACAGCAGGGUUUCACUUUCGAUGGUUGAGAUGGCUCCUGAGAGAGGCCAGCUGGUUCCUGGGCAGGCAGGCUGAGCCUGGAGGUGCGGUGACUGCCUGAGGGGUGUGAGAUGUGAGGCAGCCACCAUGACCUGGUUCCAGAAACAGCUGGUUUGGACGGAGCAGCAGCACAGUGAGGGGCUGCAAAUGCCCCCGGGGAUCCCCAUCGCCGCCGGAGUCCUGGCUCUCCUCGCCCUGCUCGCCCUGGCCUGUCACUGCCUCG
Dipodomys ordii (Ord's kangaroo rat) is the source of this 319-nucleotide long non-coding RNA. RefSeq lists it as uncharacterized. The record is from RefSeq and is a predicted model, not a curated record. The transcript is spliced from 3 exons. NCBI's taxonomy places the organism in Eukaryota, Metazoa, Chordata, Mammalia, Rodentia, Heteromyidae.